RNAcentral lists this ribosomal RNA (854 nucleotides) under uncultured organism. RNAcentral's name for it is "bacterial SSU rRNA". It matches the Rfam family "Bacterial small subunit ribosomal RNA", at positions 88 to 954 of the family's 1533-position model. The record is from RNAcentral.
GUGGAGAGUGGCGCACGGGUGAGUAACACGUGAGCAACCUGCCGGGAAGCCCGGGAUAGCCCUCCGAAAGGAGGAUUAAUACCGGAUGUGGCCACCCUGCGAUUGCAGGGGAAGCUAAAGGAUUUAUUCACUUCCCGAGGGGCUCGCGGCCCAUCAGCUUGUUGGUGAGGGUAACGGCCCACCAAGGCGACAACGGGUAGCUGGUCUGAGAGGAUGGUCAGCCACACUGGAACUGAGACACGGUCCAGACACCUACGGGUGGCAGCAGUCGAGAAUCAUUCGCAAUGGGGGAAACCCUGACGAUGCGACGCCGCGUGGAGGAUGAAGGCCUUAGGGUUGUAAACUCCUGUCAAGAGGGAAUAAGCAAGUGAAGGUACCUCUAGAGGAAGGGGCGGCUAAUUCCGUGCCAGCAGCCGCGGUAACACGGAAGCCCCGAGCGUUGUUCGGAUUCAUUGGGCGUAAAGGGUGCGUAGGCGGCGCGGAAAGUCCGGCGUGAAAGGCAGGGGCUCAACCUCUGGACUGCGUUGGAUACUUCCGUGCUUGAGGACUGGAGGGGAGACUGGAAUUCACGGUGUAGCAGUGAAAUGCGUAGAUAUCGCGAGGAAGACCGGUGGCGAAGGCGAGUCUCUGGACAGAUCCUGACGCUGAGGCACGAAGGCUGGGGGAGCGAACAGGAUUAGAUACCCUGGUAGUCCCAGCAGUAAACGAUGUGAGCUUGAUGUGGGGGGAUUCGACCCCUUCCGUGUCGAAGCUAACGCGAUAAGCUCACCGCCUGAGGAGUACGGCCGCAAGGCUAAAACUCAAAGAAAUUGACGGGGACCCGCACAAGCGGUGGAGUAUGUGGCUUAAUUCGA